CCUAGGAGAAAGAGUGAUAUUAGAAGAGUCAGGUUAGUCUUACAUCACAGAGCAAUGGUGAUAGUUAAAUGCUAGGACCACAAUCCUACAAAACGUUGUAAUCUACUUCAUAGACGAAGAAAAUGCACUUUAGGAUUCCUGGGUUUGAAAAGCUAGAACCUGUUAUUUUGCUUAUGACGUGCAUAUGCUUAACUGAAAACUAAAUACUGAUUUGCAAUAUCUAAACUAUUCAUUCAGUCUCAGCAAACACUAUUCCUCAUAUUAAAGAAGCAGAAAAAUGUAUGCCUAAGAAUAUAUAGACAUCUUUUUACAAAUUGAAGGUUUGUGGCAACCCUGCAUUGAGCAAGUCUAUUGGCGCCAUUUUUCCAACAUCAUUUGCUCACUUCCUGUCUCUGUGUCACAUGUUAGUAAUUCUCACAAUAUUUCAAACUUUUUCAUUAUUAUUAUAUUGGUUUUGGUGAUCAGUGAUUAGUGAUCUUUGGUAUUACUAUUGUAAUUUGGGGGCAGUUAUUAGCAAUAAAAUUUUUUUGUUUGUGUUUUUUUUUUUUUGCAGUACGCGGGCCUCUCACUGUUGUGGCCUCUCCCAUUGUGGAGCACAGGCUCCGGACGCGCAGGCUCAGCGGCCAUGGCUCACGGGCCCAGCCGCUCCGCGGCAUGUGGGAUCCUCCUGGACCGGGGCACGAACCCGUGUCCCCUGCAUCGGCAGGCGGGCUCUCAACCACUGCGCCACCAGGGAAGCCCUAAAGUAUUUUUUUAAUUGAGUUCUCCUGCUCAUGAUCAGUGAUACAGAACACCUAUGUGAACUACAAGUUCGAACAAGAAGCCGAAUAAAAUAGAAGAUGUCAGACACUUACCACCACUAAUUUUCCGUCUUCCACUUUUCUUGUUAUUAUGCUUUCCUUUCCAUCCCAUUCCUGACGUUGAACCAAUGCGCCAUCUGUAAAGUUGCAGACAGUCUGCCAAAAUAAAGUACUUUUU
Molecule: long non-coding RNA, 978 nt
Organism: Orcinus orca (killer whale)
Lineage: Eukaryota; Metazoa; Chordata; Mammalia; Artiodactyla; Delphinidae
Exons: 2
Source: RefSeq, a predicted model, not a curated record